Molecule: ribosomal RNA, 1346 nt
Filed under: metagenome
Description: bacterial LSU rRNA
Rfam family: Bacterial large subunit ribosomal RNA
Source: RNAcentral
UGAGUACGAGCGGCUACGGCCGCGAAGUGGAUGAUGUCAAGCUUCCAAGAAAAGCCCUAUACCCGUUAAGGCAUGAUGGCCUGUACCCGAAACCGACACAGGUGGGGUGGUAGAGAAUACCGAGGGGCGCGAGGUAACUCUCUCUAAGGAACUCGGCAAAAUGGCCCCGUAACUUCGGGAGAAGGGGUGCCACCGCGAGGUGGUCGCAGUGAAGAGGCCCAGGCGACUGUUUACCAAAAACACAGGUCUCCGCUAAGUCGCAAGACGAUGUAUGGGGGCUGACGCCUGCCCAGUGCCGGAAGGUUAAGGAAGCUGGUCAGCGCAAGCGAAGCUGGCGACUGAAGCCCCGGUGAACGGCGGCCGUAACUAUAACGGUCCUAAGGUAGCGAAAUUCCUUGUCGGGUAAGUUCCGACCCGCACGAAAGGCGUAACGAUCUGGGCGCUGUCUCGGAGAGAGGCUCGGCGAAAUAGAAUUGUCUGUGAAGAUGCGGACUACGUGCACCCGGACAGAAAGACCCUAUGAAGCUUUACUGUAGCUUGGUAUUGUGCUCAGGCUCGGAAUGCGCAGGAUAGGUGGGAGGCUUUGAUCCAUUGCUUGCGGGUGAUGGUGAGCCACUGGUGAGAUACCACUCUUUCCGAGCUAGAGUUCUAACAGCAACCCGUUAUCCGGGUGCUGGACAGUAUCAGGUGGGCAGUUUGACUGGGGCGGUCGCCUCCUAAAAGGUAACGGAGGCGCGCAAAGGUCUGCUCAGGCUGGUUGGAAAUCAGCCGACGAGUGUAAAAGCAGAAGCAGGCUUGACUGUGAGACCUACAAGUCGAACAGGGAGGAAACUCGGCUUUAGUGAUCCGACGGUUCUGCGUGGAAGGGCCGUCGCUCAACGGAUAAAAGUUACUCUAAGGAUAACAGGCUGAUCUCCCCCAAGAGUUCACAUCGACGGGGAGGUUUGGCACCUCGAUGUCGGCUCAUCGCAACCUGGGGCUGAAGUCGGUCCCAAGGGUUGGGCUGUUCGCCCAUUAAAGCGGUACGCGAGCUGGGUUCAGAACGUUGUGAGACAGUUCGGUCCAUAUCCGGUGCACGCGCAGGAAUAUUGAGAGGAUUUCUCCCUAGUACGAGAGGACCGGGAGGAACGCACCUCUGGUGUGCCAGUUAUCGUGCCAACGGUAAACGCUGGGUAGCCAUGUGCGGAGUGGAUAACCGCUGAAAGCAUCUAAGUGGGAAGCCCACCUCAAGAUGAGUAUUCCCAUGGCAUAAGCCAGUAAGGUCACGGGAAGAACACCCGUUGAUAGGCUCUACGUGGAAGCGCAGUAAUGUGUGAAGCGGAGGAGUACUAAUAGACCGAGGGCUU